AUAAAAUAACAAUUAUGUUAGCAGAAGUUAUUUGAAAUAGGUUCCUUGAUCAUCAAGCCCAGUGAAAAGAUGAGGCCGAUAAAGAGAAAGAUUUGUUUCUGCUAGAAGGAAUCAGAAGCUGGAGAUGGAACAUGGGGAUUUGGGGGAAAUCAAGAAAAUAGACAUUCAGCCCUGAACCAACAGUGUGAUUUCAGAAGAAAACAUUUUCUCAGCAAAAGAGAUGUGCUGACUGUUAAGUACAAGGUCUGAACCCCUCAGCCUGGAGGACUCCUGACAGUCCCUCCUGCAGAAUCCCUUCUUCUGCAAAUUUCUGCUACCCUGGUCAUGUCAUCCAACAGCCCCCUGAGUGCUCAUAGUUAGUCACUUCAAGUUGUUUGGCCAGACCCAAACUGGAUGGCUCUUUGGGAAAUAUUCUUCUGAAGAAAUUCUGGAGGUUGCAAUGUUCUGUAAUAUUCCACAUUUAGAAUUCUUCCUCACUGAAAAAUGGAAACAGAGAUGAAGCGCAGUUUCUUGGACUCCAAGCUUGAAUGAGGCUAAGUGACAUCCGGUGAAGCCAGCGUAUGAAUUGCCUCGUCAGAGGCGCUGGCGGCAAGGAUGGUGGAGAUUGGAGUGUGCGCAGGGCAGUUGUCUCCAUGACCACACAUUCAGAGACCACAUCUGGAUCCACUCUGAAGUGAGUUCCGAACUCCAAGGUCCCCAAGGUGGCAUGUGGGGGAUGGUGCUCGUCCAGCCACAGCCCCAGGUUGAGUGAAAUGAAUGAAUUUAUCUCUGGUACCACAAGGGCCUUCUAGCUCAGCAGAGUUCUUUAUCUGUCAG
Long non-coding RNA from Ornithorhynchus anatinus (platypus), 816 nucleotides. RefSeq lists it as uncharacterized. Lineage: Eukaryota; Metazoa; Chordata; Mammalia; Monotremata; Ornithorhynchidae. The transcript has 6 exons. The record is from RefSeq and is a predicted model, not a curated record.